AGAGUUUGAUCAUGGCUCAGAACGUACGCUGGCGGCACGCCUAACACAUGCAAGUCGAACGAAGUAGCAAUACUUAGUGGCAGACGGGUGAGUAACAUGUAGGUAUCUACACUUUGGCCUGGAAUAACACGAGGAAACUUGUGCUAAUACCGGAUAAGUCUUUACGGAGAAAGCUUUAUGCACCAUUGGAUGAGCCUGCACUUGAUUAGUUUGUUGGUAGGGUAACGGCCUACCAAGACUUUGAUCAAUAGCUGAUUUGAGAGGAUGAUCAGCCACAUUGGGACUGAGACACGGCCCAAACUCCUACGGGAGGCAGCAGUGGGGAAUCUUGCACAAUGGAGGAAACUCUGAUGCAGCGAUGCCGCGUGAGUGAAGAAGGCCCUUGGGUUGUAAAGCUCUUUCGUCGGGGAAGAAAAUGACUGUACCCGAAUAAGAAGGUCCGGCUAACUUCGUGCCAGCAGCCGCGGUAAUACGAAGGGACCUAGCGUAGUUCGGAAUUACUGGGCUUAAAGAGUUCGUAGGUGGUUGAAAAAGUUGGUGGUGAAAUCCCAGAGCUUAACUCUGGAACUGCCAUCAAAACUUUUCAGCUAGAGUUUGAUAGAGGAAAGCAGAAUUUCUAGUGUAGAGGUGAAAUUCGUAGAUAUUAGAAAGAAUACCAAUUGCGAAGGCAGCUUUCUGGAUCAUUACUGACACUGAGGAACGAAAGCAUGGGUAGCGAAGAGGAUUAGAUACCCUCGUAGUCCAUGCCGUAAACGAUGUGUGUUAGACGUUGGAAAUUUAUUUUCAGUGUCGCAGCGAAAGCGAUAAACACACCGCCUGGGGAGUACGACCGCAAGGUUAAAACUCAAAUGAAUUGACGGGGACCCGCACAAGUAGUGGAGCAUGUGGUUUAAUUCGAAGAUACGCGCAGAACCUUACCAACACUUGACAUGUUCGUCGCGACUUUAAGAGAUUAAAGUUUUCGGUUCGGCCGGACGAAACACAGGUGCUGCAUGGCUGUCGUCAGCUCGUGUCGUGAGAUGUUGGGUUAAGUCCCGCAACGAGCGCAACCCUCACUUUUAGUUGCCAUCAUUAAGUUGGGCACUCUGAAAGAACUGCCAGUGAUAAGCUGGAGGAAGGUGGGGAUGACGUCAAGUCCUCAUGGCCCUUACGUGUUGGGCUACACACGUGCUACAAUGGUAUCUACAACAGGAAGCAAAACGGCGACGUUAAGCAAAUCCUUAAAAGAUACCUCAGUUCGGAUUGCACUCUGCAACUCGAGUGCAUGAAGCUGGAAUUACUAGUAAUCGUGGAUCAGCGUGCCACGGUGAAUGCGUUCCCGGGUCUUGUACACACCGCCCGUCACACCAUGGGAGUUGGUUCUACCUUAAGGCAAGGUUUAAAAUCCUUGACCACGGUAUAGUCAGCGACUGGGGUGAAGUCGUAACAAGGUAACCGUA
Molecule: ribosomal RNA, 1439 nt
Filed under: uncultured bacterium
Lineage: Bacteria
Description: bacterial SSU rRNA
Rfam family: Bacterial small subunit ribosomal RNA
Source: RNAcentral